UAGGAGGACCAGGUCUAUGCCUGUGUACUUGCACACUCAUUUGUGAGUUGGAUCAUGGAUCAUGGCAGGUUUGGGAACAGUAAGUACUUUGCAAGCGCGCUACAUCCCAGACUUGACUCAGCUAUUUGUAAGAGUAAAUCAGUAAUGGUCCCAUAAGAAGGGCAAGCAAGUUCGUAACAGGAGUUUGAGAUGGGGAAAGGAGAUGAGCGGAAGAACAUUUAUUCCCAAAAUAAAGCAUUACAUUCAUCUUGAA
Coturnix japonica (Japanese quail) is the source of this 253-nucleotide long non-coding RNA. RefSeq lists it as uncharacterized. The record is from RefSeq and is a predicted model, not a curated record. Lineage: Eukaryota; Metazoa; Chordata; Aves; Galliformes; Phasianidae.